This 253-nucleotide ribosomal RNA is filed under the name uncultured prokaryote. Its description in RNAcentral is "partial 16S ribosomal RNA". It matches the Rfam family "Bacterial small subunit ribosomal RNA", at positions 525 to 777 of the family's 1533-position model. The record is from RNAcentral.
ACGAAGGGUGCAAGCGUUACUCGGAAUUACUGGGCGUAAAGCGUGCGUAGGUGGUUUGUUAAGUCUGAUGUGAAAGCCCUGGGCUCAACCUGGGAACUGCAUUGGAUACUGGCUUACUAGAGUGCGGUAGAGGGUAGUGGAAUUCCCGGUGUAGCAGUGAAAUGCGUAGAUAUCGGGAGGAACACCAGUGGCGAAGGCGGUUGCCUGGAGCUUUGCUGACGCUGAUGCGCGAAAGCGUGGGGAGCGAUCCGGA